UCCACCUCUCAUAUUAGUUCCAUGGGCAAAUAGAGGGUCAUUAAGACAUUUAUUACACAAGGAUAAUGAAGCCCAGAGAGUUUAUUCAUCGUUCUAAAAUCACCCAUGGAGUUAAUGGUGGUGCGAAAGCCAGACCAGAGUCCCCAGACCAAACAGUUUGUUUCUCCAGAUUCCUGGCCCAGUGAGAGCAACUCCCAGGCUUGCCUUGCCCUGGAGGUGAGAAGGAGGUAGAGAAAGAGGCAAAGGGGAGAUGCUCUCUCCAGACACAGUUUCCUGUGAGUCCUCAGGGAUGCAAUGCUUCCCUCUCAGAACCUUGUUAGUGCAGACUACUGGGAUUGCAUUCUGCAGGCGGGGGAUCCCAUAAUAAUUUUGGAAGUGGUAGUGGAAGAGCUGAAUUGAGUUAAGAGGUUUCUAGGGGUCCCCAGUGAUGUCACCCCACACUGGGAUUUUCUAGGCCUAACUAGAAGUUGAGGGUCCUGUGAUGAGAUUAAUGGACAGAAAAUGUGGAGAGGUCAUCUGGCUCUCCUUCAGUGACCUGCUCCAUUUCUGAUUUCCCACCAGAUGGAGAACAUUCAUUUCCCUAGCUAUAGGAGCCCAGCUCCAAUACUCUCCCAGGGCAGCCUGGUGCAUCAUGAAGUACGCUGAUGGGGUCUACUGUCAAACUAUUUUGUGAAUGGUGUGACUUAGGACCAGCUGCUGAACUUCUUGGUCAUCAGCCUCCUCAUCUGUGAAAUCAAAAUAAUAUUUCCAACCACCAGGUUGGUCUGAGAAUUAUAUAAAAUAACAGAUGUAAGGUACUUAGUAAUGAUCAAACAGUCAUCACUGAUAGUUAGUUAAGUUGUGGAUUAUCUCACCUAAUCUUCCUGACAAGUCUUUGAUGUGAUUUGACUAUUUGCUGUAAUUUACAGAGGAGGAAACUGGGGCUCAAAGAAGGUUAGUAAGUUGCUUGAUGUUAUACAUCCAGGAAGUGGCAAAGCUGGAACUAAACCCCAAAACAAGAUUUUAACAACUUUUCCCCAAGAUUUUCCCUUCCCUCUUCCUCCCUCUGCUAAGCAAUUAAGGCCCCUCAUCCCACCACUGGGACUCUGUUUUUUUCCUCAAGGCUCUGAUGUUGGUGCCAAUCCUUGGCAGCUCCUUCAUGAUACAGUACGGGUUAUCUCCACCUACAGGGUGCUAGCCAAUUGGAAAAGGGUUAGUGGCCUUCAGAUGUUUGUCAUUAGACUUGUCAAAGCGCCUGGUACCUGUUAGAUAAUGAACAAGUCUGGGAGCCACAUCCUGGGCAUGUUCACUCCAGCAAGCCCAGCCCUCAGCUCUGGAUUCCAACUCCAGAUAAAAACUGCCACCACCCAUGGGUAACUCUGUCUUACCAGGUGACUCCUGCCCAUUAUAAUGUAUUUUAAAGGCAUGGUAAUUAAGACAAGUCAUGUUUGAGCAAAAUUAGAAAAAUAAACCAAAACAGCACAACAGACAGCCUGUAAUUAAU
RNAcentral lists this long non-coding RNA (1483 nucleotides) under Marmota monax (woodchuck). The record is from RNAcentral. Lineage: Eukaryota; Metazoa; Chordata; Mammalia; Rodentia; Sciuridae.